GAUGAACGCUGGCGGCGUGCUUAACACAUGCAAGUCGAACGGAAAGGCUCCUGCUUGCAGGGGUACUAGAGUGGCGAACGGGUGAGUAACACGGGGGUGAUCUUCCCUGUACUUCGGGAUAAGCCUGGGAAACUGGGACUAAUACCGGAUAGGUCGAUGGUUUGGAUGCCAUUGUUGAAAGUUUUUUCGGUGUGGGAUGAGCUCGCGGCCUAACAGCUUGUUGGUGGGGUAAUGGCCUACCAAGGCGUCGACGGGUAGCCGGCCUGAGAGGGUGUACGGCCACAGUGGGACUGAGAUACGGCCCAGACUCCUACGGGAGGCAGCAGUGGGGAAUAUUGCACAAUGGGCGCAAGCCUGAUGCAGCGACGCCGCGUGGGGGAUGACGGCCUUCGGGUUGUAAACUCCUUUCGCUAGGGACGAAGCGCAAGUGACGGUACCUGGAGAAGAAGCACCGGCUAACUACGUG
RNAcentral lists this ribosomal RNA (466 nucleotides) under uncultured bacterium. Its description in RNAcentral is "partial 16S ribosomal RNA". It matches the Rfam family "Bacterial small subunit ribosomal RNA", at positions 28 to 507 of the family's 1533-position model. The record is from RNAcentral.